GAGUUUGAUCGUGGCUCAGAUUGAACGCUGGCGGCAUGCCUUACACAUGCAAGUCGAACGGCAGCAUGAUCUAGCUUGCUAGAUUGAUGGCGAGUGGCGAACGGGUGAGUAAUACAUCGGAACGUGCCCUGUAGUGGGGGAUAGCUAGUCGAAAGAUUAGCUAAUACCGCAUACGACCUGAGGGUGAAAGUGGGGGACCGCAAGGCCUCAUGCUAUAGGAGCGGCCGAUGUCUGAUUAGCUAGUUGGUGGGGUAAAGGCCCACCAAGGCGACGAUCAGUAGCUGGUCUGAGAGGACGAUCAGCCACACUGGGACUGAGACACGGCCCAGACUCCUACGGGAGGCAGCAGUGGGGAAUUUUGGACAAUUGGCGAAAGCCUGAUCCAGCAAUGCCGCGUGUGUGAAGAAGGCCU
Molecule: ribosomal RNA, 412 nt
Filed under: uncultured microorganism
Description: bacterial SSU rRNA
Rfam family: Bacterial small subunit ribosomal RNA
Source: RNAcentral